This 253-nucleotide ribosomal RNA is filed under the name uncultured bacterium. RNAcentral's name for it is "partial 16S ribosomal RNA". It matches the Rfam family "Bacterial small subunit ribosomal RNA", at positions 524 to 776 of the family's 1533-position model. The record is from RNAcentral.
UACAAAAAAUACAAACGUUGCUCGGAAUCAUUGGGCGUAAAGCGCACGUAGGCGGCCCAGCAAGUGGGGAGUGAAAACCCUCAACUUAACCAAAAAAAUACUUUCCAAACUACUGGGCUUGAAUACUGGAGAGGGUCGCGGAAUUCCCGGUGUAGAGGUGAAAUUCGUAGAUAUCGGGAGGAACACCAGUGGCGAAGGCGGCGACCUGGACAGAUAUUGACGCUGAGGUGCGAAAGCGUGGGGAGCAAACAGG